GAAAAAUCUACCAGAGUUGUCUUUCUUUAUGAAGCAGAAGACACUUGCUGUGAAAACGGAAAUGGAUGCCAGUUCAUUUUAGGGAUAUUUACAGGAUGCUGUUCACUAAGCUAAUGGUGGGGAUCGUAGCAGUUACCCUGCACACAGAUAUUGAAUGGUCGAGCUAUCUGGUCCAUUAUCAGAAGAGUGGACAGCACUGUGCGUCCAAUCAGAGAAGUUUCUCGAGAAGCAUUACGAGGGACUUGUAUGAAUGGCAGAAGACAUUUUCUUAACUCACCAUCAUUGCCUGAUGUUGGCGACUGAACACUUUAUUGAAAAUUGGUGGAAUGUAGCAAUCAAUGGGUGUCAUCAUUUGCCGUGAAAAGACUAAGAGAACUCCCUGGUCCUCAUGAGAUGGUGACACCCUGCAGUAGGAGCAGUUCCUACCGGUAUCUCUUAAAAGCAGAAAGAAGUUUUCUUAGCAUCUGAUCCAUUUCUGGAGACAAACUUUUGUAUGGAGCUGGUAAAAUUUCUAUCUUUUUAACUCAUCUGAGCUAUAAGAUCAAGUGGGCUUUUCUGGUCACCACUUGUCUGUUGUACAUCUGUCUGUCCAUCUGUCUGUAAACUUAUUUUUAACUUCUCUACAAUCACAGAGCCCAAUUUCGUCUAAAUGAAGGGCCUCCUACCGUCAAAGGUUAGAUAAUCAAAAAAUGAAGAAAGAUAGGAUGAGGUCUUUUAAGUAUCGUCUCCAGAACUAACGAGGUAGAAAUGAUGAAACCUUUAUAAAUAUUGUGAAACUCUCCUAAAAUGUAUUAUUUUGUUUUAAUUUUGGCUCCAGGGGAUAGGAUAAGGCCAUCGGUGCCUGGGAAGGACAAAAACAACAGGCCAAUGACCCCAAUUAUGGUAUAAUGGUGGGGACAUUCUGAAAUUUAUUGUGCUGAAAUAAUGUACAUUAGGUCCAUUUUUAGCUCACCAGAGCCAAAGGCUUAAGUGAGCUUCUCUGACUAAAAUCUGUACGUUGUCUGUUGUCGGGAUCAUCAUAAACUUUUUACAUUUCCAUCUUCUUCUCCAGCACCAGUGGGCCAAUUUCAACAAAACUUGGCACAAAGCAUUCUUGGGUGAAAGGGAUUCAAUUUUGUACAAAUGAAGGACCAUGCCCCUUUCCAAGGGGAAUUAAUAGAGAAAUAGUGAAAAUACAUUGACGAUUUAUAAAAAUCUUCUCCAGAACCACUCGACCAAUUUCAGCCAAUCAUGGCAUAAAGCAUCCUUGGGUAAAGGGGAUUCAGGUUUGUUUCAAAUGAAGGGUACUGUCCUUCAAAGGGGAGAAAAUCACAAAAAAUAGGGUGGGGUCAUUUUUAAAAAUCAUUUUUUAAGAACCACUGGAAUUUACAUGAAAGCUUCCUGACAUAGUACAAAUUUAAGUUUGUUAAAACCAUGACCCCCUUUGAGGCCAUAAUAGGGGAUCAAACUUUUACAUGCGAAUAUAUAGGUAAAAUCUUUGAAAAUCCUCUUCUCAAGAACCACUGCGCCAGAAAAGUACAAAUUUACAUGAAAGCUUCCAGACAUAGUGCAGAUUCAAGUUUGUAAAAUUCAUCGACCCUGGGGGUAGGAUAGGGGCCCAACAGGGAUCAAAGUUUUACAAGUUAUUAUAUAGGAAAAAUCUUUAAACAUUGGCCAAGGUAACUCAGGUGAGCGGUGUGGCCCAUGAGCCUCUUGUUAAUAAUGUUUGUUGUUGACACCAGAUACACUAAUUCAACAACACAUAAUGUUUUCUAUUGAUUUUUCACCAAUCCUUCAUCCUUAAAUUUUGGGUAGAAUCUGCCCUUAAGUAAAAAUUGUUACAGAUGCCGUAAAAUUUAUUUUAAAAACAGGAAUAAGGAAGAUUGAUAUCAUUACAAUGAACUUUUAAGACUCUUUAUUCAUAUAUGUACAUGGUUUAAGUAUUAAACAUGUUUACAAAUACUGAACUUUACAUUGGGAGGUGAGGGAUGGUGAACUAUUUUCUGAAUUUAACGUUGAGACGUGAGGGGUUGGAGGACUGCUUUCUGAACUUUAUGUAGUGAGGUGACAUGGAUGAGAACUAUUCUAUGAGCAUUAUGUUGAGACGUGAGGGGAUGGAGAACUAUUUUCUGAACUUUACGUUGGGAGGUGAGGGUGUGAGAAACUUUUCAUUGAUGUCGCCUAGGACUUGAUGUAUACAGAGGGUAGCAGUUACUUGAGAUGUCUGGCUGAUUGACGAGGAUAAUUGUCCUGCGACUCUGACAGUCUGUAGGACUUGGAUAGUUCUAUUGCUGUAGAAAAUGUCAGGACGGUGGAGAUUUAGAUAAGUGGUGUGAUGUUAUUGAGGGUAAACAGAAGACUGUGACCUUGAAUCUGAAGAUCUGUGAUGAAGACUUGACGUUUGGGGUCACUCUCUGUUACAGUACUACAAAUCUAACAGUGAGCCACUCAGCCACAAAGAGGUUGUCUCUGAUGUCCACACAUAAACCUAAUGGAAGCUUUAAAUGACAGUGAAUGUAACGGAGGAACUGUCCGUCCUGAUCUAGGAUGUGGAUACGCUGAUAGUCUGCUGUCAGGAUGUGACUCUGGCUGUCUGUAGUGAUGCCGACUGGAGUAAAUGAUUGCUUGGUAUUAGAGGGAUGACCAGUGUAUCUAAAUCGGAGUUUUCCUGACUGAUUGACCACCACUACUGCACUAGCUGACCGGUCAGCCACACAGAUAUCCAGGUUCUUGUUCUCACUGAGGUAUUUAUAGUUAUAUAAACCACCAGAUGAGUAGAGAGGACGACCCUGAUCAUCAAACUGAAUGCUUUGUUUCUCUGUGGAGCCGGAGUAACGUACGACUUUGGAUUGUUUGAGAUCAUCACUGAUCAUGGUAACCAGGAGGUCGUUACCCGCGGUACAGCAGACACGGAGAGGUAUCCACCCCUGUAGUGUGAUCACGAAUGAGUUGAGUGGAAUAAUGAACCUCCAGAUAUCUAUGUACAUGUGUAUAUUAUAAUUAAACUUCUGUUGCACUCGCGCAUGCGAGAUUACUCUA
This is a long non-coding RNA of Ostrea edulis (European flat oyster), 3018 nucleotides long. RefSeq lists it as uncharacterized. The record is from RefSeq and is a predicted model, not a curated record. The transcript has 8 exons. NCBI's taxonomy places the organism in Eukaryota, Metazoa, Mollusca, Bivalvia, Ostreida, Ostreidae.